CCCUUAGAUGUUCUGGGCCGCACGCGCGCUACACUGACGAAGUCAGCGAGCAUGUCCUACGCCGACAGGUGCGGGGAAUCUUGUCAAACUUCGUCGUGAUGGGGAUUGAUUAUUGAAAUUCUUGAUCAUCAACGAGGAAUUCCUAGUAAGCGCAAGUCAGCAGCUUGCGUUGAUUACGUCCCUGCCCUUUGUACAUACCGCCCGUCGCUACUACCGAUUGAAUGGUUUAGUGAGAUCUUCGGAUUGGCGCCACUGCGGCUCAGCAAUGGGCUCGGUGGAUGCCGAAAAGUUGAUCAAACUUGAUCAUUUAGAGGAAGUAAAAGUCGUAACA
Molecule: ribosomal RNA, 331 nt
Filed under: uncultured eukaryote
Lineage: Eukaryota
Description: partial 18S ribosomal RNA
Rfam family: Eukaryotic small subunit ribosomal RNA
Source: RNAcentral